Molecule: ribosomal RNA, 253 nt
Filed under: uncultured bacterium
Lineage: Bacteria
Description: partial 16S ribosomal RNA
Rfam family: Bacterial small subunit ribosomal RNA
Source: RNAcentral
UACGUAGGGUGCAAGCGUUAAUCGGAAUUACUGGGCGUAAAGCGUGCGCAGGCGGUGAUGUAAGACAGGUGUGAAAUCCCCGGGCUUAACCUGGGAACUGCAUUUGUGACUGCAUCGCUGGAGUGCGGCAGAGGGGGAUGAAAUUCCGCGUGUAGCAGUGAAAUGCGUAGAUAUGCGGAGGAACACCGAUGGCGAAGGCAAUCCCCUGGGCCUGCACUGACGCUCAUGCACGAAAGCGUGGGGAGCAAACAGG